This 1009-nucleotide ribosomal RNA is filed under the name Salmonella enterica. RNAcentral's name for it is "partial 23S ribosomal RNA". It matches the Rfam family "Bacterial large subunit ribosomal RNA", at positions 1918 to 2925 of the family's 2925-position model. The record is from RNAcentral. Lineage: Bacteria; Pseudomonadati; Pseudomonadota; Gammaproteobacteria; Enterobacterales; Enterobacteriaceae. RNAcentral also lists the same sequence under 3 other names.
CCCCGGUAAACGGCGGCCGUAACUAUAACGGUCCUAAGGUAGCGAAAUUCCUUGUCGGGUAAGUUCCGACCUGCACGAAUGGCGUAAUGAUGGCCAGGCUGUCUCCACCCGAGACUCAGUGAAAUUGAACUCGCUGUGAAGAUGCAGUGUACCCGCGGCAAGACGGAAAGACCCCGUGAACCUUUACUAUAGCUUGACACUGAACAUUGAGCCUUGAUGUGUAGGAUAGGUGGGAGGCUUUGAAGUGUGGACGCCAGUCUGCAUGGAGCCGACCUUGAAAUACCACCCUUUAAUGUUUGAUGUUCUAACGUGGACCCGUAAUCCGGGUUGCGGACAGUGUCUGGUGGGUAGUUUGACUGGGGCGGUCUCCUCCUAAAGAGUAACGGAGGAGCACGAAGGUUGGCUAAUCCUGGUCGGACAUCAGGAGGUUAGUGCAAUGGCAUAAGCCAGCUUGACUGCGAGCGUGACGGCGCGAGCAGGUGCGAAAGCAGGUCAUAGUGAUCCGGUGGUUCUGAAUGGAAGGGCCAUCGCUCAACGGAUAAAAGGUACUCCGGGGAUAACAGGCUGAUACCGCCCAAGAGUUCAUAUCGACGGCGGUGUUUGGCACCUCGAUGUCGGCUCAUCACAUCCUGGGGCUGAAGUAGGUCCCAAGGGUAUGGCUGUUCGCCAUUUAAAGUGGUACGCGAGCUGGGUUUAGAACGUCGUGAGACAGUUCGGUCCCUAUCUGCCGUGGGCGCUGGAGAACUGAGGGGGGCUGCUCCUAGUACGAGAGGACCGGAGUGGACGCAUCACUGGUGUUCGGGUUGUCAUGCCAAUGGCACUGCCCGGUAGCUAAAUGCGGAAGAGAUAAGUGCUGAAAGCAUCUAAGCACGAAACUUGCCCCGAGAUGAGUUCUCCCUGAGACUUAGAGUCUCCUGAAGGAACGUUGAAGACGACGACGUUGAUAGGCCGGGUGUGUAAGCGCAGCGAUGCGUUGAGCUAACCGGUACUAAUGAACCGUGAGGCUUAA